UACGUAGGGGACAAGCGUUGUCCGGAAUUAUUGGGCGUAAAGAGCGUGUAGGCGGCUUGGUAGGUCCGCUGUGAAAACUCGGGGCUCAACCCCGAGAGGUCGGUGGAAACCAUCUGGCUAGAGUCCGGAAGAGGAGAGUGGAAUUCCCGGUGUAGCGGUGAAAUGCGCAGAUAUCGGGAAGAAUAUCCGUGGCGAAGGCGGCUCACUGGACUGGUACUGACGCUGAUGCGCGAAAGCUAGGGGAGCAAACGGG
Molecule: ribosomal RNA, 253 nt
Filed under: uncultured bacterium
Lineage: Bacteria
Description: partial 16S ribosomal RNA
Rfam family: Bacterial small subunit ribosomal RNA
Source: RNAcentral